Caenorhabditis elegans is the source of this 92-nucleotide non-coding RNA. NCBI's taxonomy places the organism in Eukaryota, Metazoa, Nematoda, Chromadorea, Rhabditida, Rhabditidae. The record is from RefSeq.
GAAAUAAAAAUAGUUGCCUGCUGCUGGAAUCUAACCAGCGUCGCCACGGCCACAACGUGGAGUACUAACCACUAUACUAAGCAGGCCGAAAG